GAUGAACGCUGACAGAAUGCUUAACACAUGCAAGUCUUUGGCGGAGCUGUGCUUUCACAGCCUAGCCAGAGUGGCCGGGGGAGUAAUGCGUCGGGAACUAGCCCUCCGGUAAGGGAUAACAGACGGAGACGACGGAUAAGAACAGGGAAAGACAGCAGGAAUCACGUCCAGACUGAUGAAAAGAGAUAAUGCAGGCGAGCCUUGCGUCCUCUUAGCUUGUUGGUGGGGUAACGGCCGACCAGGGCGAUGAUAGGUAGCCGGCCUGAGAGGGUGGACGGCCACAAGGGGACUGGGAUACGCCGCUGACUCCCUCGGGAGGCAGCAGUGGGUAAUAUUGGACAAUGGCGGCAACCCUGAUAAGGCAAUUCUGUGUUCACGAUGAAGUUUUUCGGAUUGUAAAGUGCUUUCAGCAGAGAAGAAAAAAAUGACGGUACCUGCAGAAGAAGCGACGGCUAAAUACGUG
RNAcentral lists this ribosomal RNA (463 nucleotides) under uncultured bacterium. Its description in RNAcentral is "partial 16S ribosomal RNA". It matches the Rfam family "Bacterial small subunit ribosomal RNA", at positions 28 to 507 of the family's 1533-position model. The record is from RNAcentral.